Molecule: ribosomal RNA, 2634 nt
Filed under: human gut metagenome
Description: bacterial LSU rRNA
Rfam family: Bacterial large subunit ribosomal RNA
Source: RNAcentral
GCCCGGCCGGAGUGAUAAAACGGCGUGUGAGGCGAACCGGAUUGAAUGCCGGGCCGCAGAGGGUGAUGGCCCCGUAGCCGAACGCGCGUCGUCUCCGGAUCGUGUUUCCCAAGUAGCGCGGGACUCGUGGAAUCCCGUGUGAAUCCGCCCCGACCGUGGGGUAAGCCUAGAUAUACCUGUCUGACCGAUAGCGAACUAGUACCGUGAGGGAAAGGUGAAAAGCACCCCGGGAGGGGAGUGAAACAGUCUCUGAAACCGUGCGCUUACAAACCGUCGGAGCCUUUCGGGGUGACGGCGUGCCUAUCGAAAAAUGAGUCUGCGAGUCAGUGGCACGUGGCGAGCGUAACCCGUGUGGGGUACGCGUAGCGAAGGCGAGUCUCAAAAGGCGUUUGAGUCGCGUGUCCUGGACCCGAAGCGGGAUGAUCUAGCCCUGAGCAGGUUGAAGCGCGGGUAAGACCGCGUGGAGGACCGAACCCACCUGGGUUGAAAACCGGGGGGAUGACUUGGGGUUAGGGGUGAAAGGCCAAUCAAAUUCCGUGAUAGCUGGUUCUCUCCGAAAUGCAUUUAGGUGCAGCGUCGGGGAUUACGUCCGGGGGGUAGAGCUACUGGAUGCUUGAGGGCCCGUAUCGGGUACCGACAGCAGCCAAACUCCGAAUACCCGUGACGCGUAUCCCGGCAGUGAGUCGGCGGGGGAUAAGCUCCGUCGUCGAAAGGGAGACAGCCCAGAUCGUCGUCUAAGGUCCCCAAGCGCGUGCUAAGUGGGAAAGGAUGUGGAGUCGCAUAGACAGCCAGGAGGUUGGCUCAGAAGCAGCCACCCUUGAAAGAGUGCGUAACAGCUCACUGGUCUAGUGGUUCCGCGCCGACAAUGUAGCGGGGCUCAAGCACACCACCGAAGACGCGGCAGUAUUUUGUACUGGGUAGGAGAGCGUCCCAUGAGGGGCGAAGCGGCCGUGUGAACGCGCCGUGGACUUCAUGGGAGUGAGAAUGCAGACAUGAGUAGCGAGAGACGGGUGAGGAUCCCGUCCGCUGGAUGACCAAGGGUUCCGGGGCCACGUUCGUCGUCCCCGGGUGAGUCGGGUCCUAAGGCGAGGCCGACAGGCGUAGUCGAAUGGAUGAACGGGCUGAUAUUCCCGUACCGGCAGCGAACCGCAAGAGCCGAACGGAUGAGUACUAACCUCCGGUCGCGUGGCGUCGUUCCCUUCGGGGUUCGGGGCGUGCGAUUGUUGGGAAUGUAGUCCUGGUAGGUUAGCGCACAGGGGUGACACGGAAUGGGAGCCGGCCGCGGAGGUGGUUUUCCGUGGUCAAGCGUUCGAGCCCGUCCCGCAGGCAAAUCCGCGGGGCGUCGGGGCGAGGCGUGAUGAUGGGGGCCUUACGGCCCGAAUCCGGUGAUCCGUGGUGCCGAGAAAAGCUUCGGCGUCAGGCGCGUUGCCGCCCGUACCCCAAACCGACACUGGUGGUCAGGUAGAGAAUACCAAAGCGAUCGAGCGAAUCCUGGUCAAGGAACUCGGCAAAUCACUCCCGUUCCUUCGGUUUAAGGGAGACCCCCGAUGGUGAACACACUUGCUGUGGGAGCUUUUGGGGGUGGCACAGACCAGGGGGUAGCGACUGUUUACCAAAAACACAGGUGCAUGCGAAGGCGCAAGCCGCUGUAUAUGCACUGACGCCUGCCCGGUGCCGGAAGGUUAAGAGGAUCCGUCAGCCUUCGGGUGAAGCGGUGAAUUCAAGCCCCGGUAAACGGCGGUGGUAACUAUAACCAUCCUAAGGUAGCGAAAUUCCUUGUCGGGUAAGUUCCGACCUGCACGAAUGGCGUAAUGAUGGCCAGGCUGUCUCCACCCGAGACUCAGUGAAAUUGAACUCGCUGUGAAGAUGCAGUGUACCCGCGGCAAGACGGAAAGACCCCGUGAACCUUUACUAUAGCUUGACACUGAACAUUGAGCCUUGAUGUGUAGGAUAGGUGGGAGGCUUUGAAGUGUGGACGCCAGUCUGCAUGGAGCCGACCUUGAAAUACCACCCUUUAAUGUUUGAUGUUCUAACGUUGGCCCGUAAUCCGGGUUGCGGACAGUGUCUGGUGGGUAGUUUGACUGGGGCGGUCUCCUCCUAAAGAGUAACGGAGGAGCACGAAGGUUGGCUAAUCCUGGUCGGACAUCAGGAGGUUAGUGCAAUGGCAUAAGCCAGCUUGACUGCGAGCGUGACGGCGCGAGCAGGUGCGAAAGCAGGUCAUAGUGAUCCGGUGGUUCUGAAUGGAAGGGCCAUCGCUCAACGGAUAAAAGGUACUCCGGGGAUAACAGGCUGAUACCGCCCAAGAGUUCAUAUCGACGGCGGUGUUUGGCACCUCGAUGUCGGCUCAUCACAUCCUGGGGCUGAAGUAGGUCCCAAGGGUAUGGCUGUUCGCCAUUUAAAGUGGUACGCGAGCUGGGUUUAGAACGUCGUGAGACAGUUCGGUCCCUAUCUGCCGUGGGCGCUGGAGAACUGAGGGGGGCUGCUCCUAGUACGAGAGGACCGGAGUGGACGCAUCACUGGUGUUCGGGUUGUCAUGCCAAUGGCACUGCCCGGUAGCUAAAUGCGGAAGAGAUAAGUGCUGAAAGCAUCUAAGCACGAAACUUGCCCCGAGAUGAGUUCUCCCUGACUCCUUGA